RNAcentral lists this ribosomal RNA (429 nucleotides) under Bacteroidota bacterium. RNAcentral describes it as "Bacteroidetes bacterium partial 16S ribosomal RNA". It matches the Rfam family "Bacterial small subunit ribosomal RNA", at positions 355 to 776 of the family's 1533-position model. The record is from RNAcentral. Lineage: Bacteria; Pseudomonadati; Bacteroidota.
UAGGGAAUCUUCCGCAAUGGACGCAAGUCUGACGGAGCAACGCCGCGUGAGUGAAGAAGGAUUUCGGUUCGUAAAACUCUGUUGUUAGAGAAGAACAGCGCAUAGAGUAACUGUUAUGCGUGUGACGGUAUCUAACCAGAAAGCCACGGCUAACUACGUGCCAGCAGCCGCGGUAAUACGUAGGUGGCAAGCGUUGUCCGGAUCUAUUGGGCGUAAAGCGAGCGCAGGCGGUCAAUUAAGUCUGAUGUGAAAGCCCCCGGCUCAACCGGGGAGGGUCAUUGGAAACUGGUUGACUUGAGUGCAGAAGAGGAGAGUGGAAUUCCAUGUGUAGCGGUGAAAUGCGUAGAUAUAUGGAGGAACACCAGUGGCGAAGGCGACUCUCUGGUCUGUAACUGACGCUGAGGCUCGAAAGCGUGGGUAGCAAACAGG